CACGUAGGGUGCGAGCGUUGUCCGGAAUUAUUGGGCGUAAAGAGCUCGUAGGCGGUGUGUUGCGUCGGCCGUGAAAACCUGCAGCUUAACUGUGGGCUUGCGGUCGAUACGGGCAUCACUGGAGUUCGGCAGGGGAGACUGGAAUUCCUGGUGUAGCGGUGAAAUGCGUAGAUAUCUGGAGGAACACCGGUGGCGAAGGCGGCAUCCUGGACCAAUACUGACGCUGAGGAGCGAAAGCCAGGGGAGCAAACGGG
RNAcentral lists this ribosomal RNA (254 nucleotides) under uncultured bacterium. RNAcentral describes it as "partial 16S ribosomal RNA". It matches the Rfam family "Bacterial small subunit ribosomal RNA", at positions 524 to 776 of the family's 1533-position model. The record is from RNAcentral.